RNAcentral lists this ribosomal RNA (393 nucleotides) under uncultured bacterium. RNAcentral's name for it is "partial 16S ribosomal RNA". It matches the Rfam family "Bacterial small subunit ribosomal RNA", at positions 523 to 918 of the family's 1533-position model. The record is from RNAcentral.
AUACGUAGGGUGCAAGCGUUAUCCGGAUUUAUUGGGUUUAAAGGGUGCGUAGGCGGUCUAUUAAGCGUGAGGUGAAAAGCCAGUGCUCAACAUUGGUCGUGCCUCCCGAACUGGUGGACUGGAAUGCGGAUGCCGUGGGAGGAAUGUGUGGUGUAGCGGUGAAAUGCAUAGAGAUCACACAGAACACCGAUUGCGAAGGCUUCUCCAGAAUCCGCGAUUGCGGCUGAGGACCAAAAGCGUGGGGAUAAAACAGGAUUAGAUACCCUGGUAGGCCACGAAUUAAACGAUGAUGAAUAACCGCCGGCGACAUACGGUCGGUGGCCAAGCGAAAGCGAUAAGUCAUCCACCUGGGGAGUGCGACCGCAAGGUUGAAACUCAAAGGAAUUGACGGGG